RNAcentral lists this ribosomal RNA (612 nucleotides) under uncultured organism. Its description in RNAcentral is "bacterial SSU rRNA". It matches the Rfam family "Bacterial small subunit ribosomal RNA", at positions 840 to 1475 of the family's 1533-position model. The record is from RNAcentral.
UGUGUGUCGUAGUUAACGCGUUAAACAGGGCGCCUGGGAAGUACGGCCGCAAGGCUAAAACCCAAAGGAAUUGACGGGGACCCGCACAAGCAGUGGAGCGCCUGGUUUAAUUCGAUGGUCAGCGAAGAACCUCACCUAGGCUUGAACUGUAGCUGCACGCUCCCAGAAACGGGAGAAUCCUUCGAGGGUGCGACAGAGGUGCUGCAUGGCUGUCGUCAGCUCGUGUCGUGAGAUGUAGGGUUAAGUCCCACAACGAGCGCAACCCCUAUUCAGUGUUAUAAUUACUCUGAAGACUGCCCUGUCCAAACGGGGAGGAAGGAGGGGACGACGUCCAGUCAUCAUGUCCCUUAUGUCUAGGGCUACACAGACGCUACAAUGGCCGGUACAAUGGGUUGCCAAGCCGCGAGGUGGAGCCAAUCCCAUCAAAGCCGGUCCCAGUUCGGAUUGCAGUCUGCAACUCGACUGCAUGAGGUUGGAAUUGCUAGUAAUCGCGAAUCAGCACGUCGCGGUGAAUACGUUCUCGGGUCUUGUACACACCGCCCGUCAGGGCACGGGAGUCGCUCUUGCUCGAAGUUCCCGAAUAAUUCGGGACCGAAAGUUAAGGGUGGCAAC